This is a long non-coding RNA of Pleuronectes platessa (European plaice), 1435 nucleotides long. RefSeq lists it as uncharacterized. NCBI's taxonomy places the organism in Eukaryota, Metazoa, Chordata, Actinopteri, Pleuronectiformes, Pleuronectidae. The record is from RefSeq and is a predicted model, not a curated record. The transcript is spliced from 2 exons.
GGAGGGGCUCCGGCCGGCGGGUGUUGCUUUCUCCGCGCACCGGCGAACCGAAACUGGAGCGUUCACCUCCCAGGUAAAAGUCAACCAGCGGAACUGGACAAACAGCCUCAAGUGCGCCUGCGUGCAAACAGCGCAACAAACUUCUGUUCCUCCCGACUGGACGACCCGUCAGCGCCGGGGAAACAGCGCCACCUGUCUGCAGCGGAACUCGCGGCUGUGGACUAAUACAGAUCAGGAGUGGGUCCCAAGCUGUGGUCCGCGGGUUGACCAGUGGUCGUUAAAAGGUUUCCAGGAGGUCUCAGUAUAAUGAUGUCUUUAUUUACGUGGGUUUUGCCCAGAACCAGAAAAAGAUAAUCACGUUAAACUUUGACUUAAAAUUCAACUGAAAAUCUAACUUAUUUUGUACAGCACAUCUUAUAAUGUGAUUCCAAGAGCGUCAACCAGCCUGUUUGAUUGCUUACGAGACGGAAAAACUAUUUAAUACUAAUUAACAUGAGAUUAAAAACAAUAAAUGAAAUGAAAAAUACAAAAUAGUUAAAAUAUUAUGACACAUUUAAAGAUAAGAGGCUUUAAAAUCUAUUUUUAAACACAGUAUACACUAAACAGUUUAAAAGAUAAGAAGUCAAACACACAAACCCAAUAGAUAAUUUAUUCUUCUGUUGGAUAAAUGGGGUCAAAAUGAGAUACUUGAAUCAGUGGUAAAUUAUCAACAAUGUGUAUUUUUAUAACAACAGUACUGAUUGUUCUGGGGGAAAAAGGCAGAUUUCUAAACAUUAAACUCCCCCAGUUUCCCAUUUCUACCCACCUACACAGAAACAGGGAUUAGCCCAAAAGCAUUGAUUUUCAUAUUGAGGAAGAGGAAAUAAGAAUUUAAGACAAAGUGCCAAAGCUAAACUCCCACACAGAACGUGUGUCAUCAUUGUAAUUGAGAGAUAAAUAUAAACCCUCUCCAGGUGUCUCCCAGCCCCUUAUACGCAUAUUCCCUAAACUUAGGUGAACCUGCCCCAAAAAAGAAAAACCGACUCUUUUUCCAUUGCCUGUUGACGAGUUUGCCUUUCUGUUUUUCCCCCUACUAUCAUGUUCAACACGACAAAAACACCAAAAGCUGAGUGCAGUCACCCGGGUGUCAUGUUUCCAUCAGAGCGGAAGACGAUAAAAACCGGUGUAUCCAGCACAGUCAUCUGACCUGAGAACGAAUGCUGAUUGUAUCAAUUCCAUUUGCAGACAAAAACCAGAUAUGUCCAUAAGAUUGUGUGGAGGGCUUGGGAGCAACCCAGAGAAGAACUCAAAAAAAUUUGUGGCAGAUCUGGAUCGGGGGACACAUAUUUUCGCUUUCUUUUACAUGAGACAUUUUUUUUUUUUACGUUUUCAUUGAUUUCACAGGAAAUAAUUCAAUAAAGUGUUGAUUGAAAUAAAAUCUGGCAUAUUUAGCAAA